Molecule: ribosomal RNA, 465 nt
Filed under: Istigobius sp. NMBE 1066483
Lineage: Eukaryota; Metazoa; Chordata; Actinopteri; Gobiiformes; Gobiidae
Description: partial 12S ribosomal RNA
Rfam family: Bacterial small subunit ribosomal RNA
Source: RNAcentral
UUCGCCAGGGAACAACGAGCCCCAGCUUAAAACCCAAAGGACUUGGCGGUGCUUUAGACCCCCCUAGAGGAGCCUGUUCUAGAACCGAUACUCCCCGUUCAACCUCACCCUCCCUUGUUUACCCCGCCUAUAUACCGCCGUCGUCAGCCUACCCUGUGAAGGACUAAUAGUAAGCAAAAUUGGCAAAGCCCAAAACGUCAGGUCGAGGUGUAGCGCACGGGAGGGGAAGAAAUGGGCUACAUUUACUGAGCCAGUAAACACGAAUGCUGCACUGAAACAAGCGUCUGAAGGAGGAUUUAGCAGUAAGGAGGGAAUAGAGCGCCCCCCUGAAAACGGCCCUGAAGCGCGCACACACCGCCCGUCACUCUCCCCAAAAAACGCAACUAAUAAAUAAUAAAAAAGACACCACAAGGGGAGGCAAGUCGUAACAUGGUAAGUGUACCGGAAGGUGUACUUGGAAAAACC